GGACGGGUGGCCGAGUGGUUUAAGGCGCACGCCUGGAAAGUGUGUGUACGUUUAUAGCGUACCGUGGGUUCGAAUCCCACCCUGUCCG
Molecule: transfer RNA, 88 nt
Filed under: Gemmatimonadaceae bacterium
Lineage: Bacteria; Pseudomonadati; Gemmatimonadota; Gemmatimonadia; Gemmatimonadales; Gemmatimonadaceae
Description: tRNA-Ser
Rfam family: tRNA
About the family: Transfer RNA (tRNA) molecules are approximately 80 nucleotides in length. Their secondary structure includes four short double-helical elements and three loops (D, anti-codon, and T loops).
Source: RNAcentral